UCACAUUUAACCUUAGAAACAUUACCUUAAUUUAUCUAAUUUUUCCGUCGCAUUUUUUAAAUUAAGUGGUUGUAAUGACUAAAAAUAAAAAAGAGAAGAAAAAAUAUAAAUAUUGCGUGAUUUGUAAAGCAGUAGAUGAAGAAAUACCAACUUUCGGAUUUCCAAAUAAAGAUAAAGACGAUGCGACUAGGAAGCUUUGGACAACAUUUUGUGAUGUCGACGAAGUUUCAGUUGGGGCUAAAUUGUGUGCCAAGCACUUCAGUGAUGAAGAUAUCAUCAAACGAAAAUCAAGUGAUGGUGGAUCCAAUCAUCGAUUAAAAAAAAAUGCAAUACCCUCACUUCUUCCUCAGCCUCAAAUAUGUAAAACUCCUAAGCGUGAACGCUUGAAAAUUUGUUUCAUUUGUGAUUGCCAAGAAAAGGGUGUUUCAUAUUUUACAUUUCCGGAGGACCCAGAUUUGAGGAAAAAGUGGAUGUUUUUUUGUAAGUGUUCCCAAGAAGAUGCCGAAAUGAUGGGGAAAAAUACUGUAUUGUGUGAAAAACAUUUUGAGGAAAGAGAUAUCAUUAGAAAAAGGAGUAUUGGAACCGGAUAUGCUUACGACACCCUUAUUUUGAACGCAGUUCCAAAAUAUACGAUUUAAAUGCUUGUACUUCUGAUGCAAUUCUCGCUGACUUGGUUGAUAGUAAUGAUGUGUGUUUGGAAAUAAUUGAAAUUGAUACCUCUGAAUCUUCAUCUCCCAUUGAAGUGACAAUCACAGAUCUUCCAGUUGAGGAAAAUGUAACUGCAACUCCACCUAUCACUAAUGCAAGCCCACCAGCAUCUUCAUCUGUUAUGAAUACGACGUCUGAAAUGUCACAUUUUGAACUUGAUUCUACAUUGAAUUCUCCGCUUACAGUUUACGAUCAAUCUACUUUAAAAAGAAUGCUCCAUGAUGACUGUACUGAAUGUUCACAUUUUCUGAAACGCUCUCCGAAACAUUCUUCAUUGUAUCAUUAAAUUUUCUAACGAAUGCUACAGUUAUCGCGAGCGGAGCUCCAGCUCCACUUCCUCGACCCAUCGGCUUCCUAUCCGAAUUCCUAAAUCAAAAAUCAAUUCAAUUCUAAUGAAGAUUUCCUUGUCAUCUGCUGUGAGUGCUGUGGUUUGCGAAUGAAAAAUAUGAAGAAUACUAUGCUACCUACAUCCUACAACUGGUUUGGAAGAUGCUUCGAGUCGACAAAAAAAAAUCAACAAAAUGAUUCAUUAUCACGUUUUUUAUUAUUGUCGUAGAGUAAAGAAAAACCAUGGCUCCGAUUUUUAAGAUUUUUGGUUCUAAUUUGGUAAUUUGCUUGAAAAAAUAUGAUUCAAUGUUCGAAUGUGGAAAACUGGAAAAUCAAAUUUUGCUGGCGGUUCUCGAAUGGAUCCACUUCGGAAUUUUAGGGGGAAAAAAUAAUAAUAAGUAAUGAAACAAAAUCCAAAAAAACACUAAUUAUGUAGAAGUUUGCUGGAAAUUAUUAAUCGUAACUCCAAUCUUCAAAAAUUGAAACGACGUUUAUUUUGCAAAAAUAUGUAGGUACUUAAUUUAUUAGUAAAAAUACGAGUACGUAUAGCCAUAAGUACAUUACAUACAUGUAGGUAGAAGUCAGCUAAUACUAUGAGAAGACCAAUUUCAAAUAACUAGUGGGAUACUUCUAUGCAAGUCAAAUCUUGUGCUAUUUCAGACACUACCCUGAUUUUUCACUUUCUAGUUUAAUACAAUACACGAAAGUUUCCUCAUCGCGCAAAUGCUCAUACUUUUUUUUAAUGACUGUUCAGAUAACAUUUUUAUUUUUAAAAGCUAGGAAACGAGCCCUUUUUUUGUACACAAAUAGUUUGUAUUGUAUAUGGUUAUCAAGGUGUGAGUCAUACGUCGGAGCACGUAUGUAUUGUAUUCGCACUUCUCGUUCGGCGCGCGUCACCUGUCAAUUUUGUGCCUUAUACGUUGCAUCAUGUAAAUAAUCAAAUUGGACUGUAUGCGCCGAACGAAAAAUUCGAAUACAUACUCCGACAUAUGACUCACACCUUGAUAACGAUAACCAUAUAAUACAAACUAUGUGUACAAAAAAAGGGCUCGUUUCCUAGCUUAUAAAAAUAAAAUAAUAAAAAUAAUGUUACUCUGAACAAUGGCACUUUCUCACAAUCAGUUACAUUUCGAAUCGGUAUCAUUUUUCAAAUUUCAGAAACAGUAAAGGUUUUCAAUCCGAUAUCCAUUACAAGAAUUGACUAGAGUAGCGCACGAAACUUCGACUACAGGAAUUCCCUGCAAAACGAGCACACCCACACCAUAUAAAAUUCACAAAAUGUAUAAUAAGAAUACGUGUAUUAACAAGCCUACCAAAAAAAAAACAAAAAACAUAAACAAAAAUCGUAUAACAUUUUCAAAUAGGUAAGCGCAAUUAAAAACAAAAUAAAAUUCAUAAUAUAAAACGUGUACAAGGUACAUACAUUUUCAUACCAAAAAAAAAAAAUGUAUAAGUUUUGACUAGUAGUUAUUCUCAAAAGUUAAUAACCGAAACUGAACUGAUUUAUUUUCAGUUUGCAAGCAUACAACAGCGCUGUUUUCAGCUUAUAAUAUUUUCAGUUUAGGGUUAUAGAACAUAUUUUUAUUUUCAAGUAACCCGUUUUCGGUCUUGAAAAAAAAUAUUUAUAUACAUACAUACGAGUGUAUUGUAUCACGCUCACGGUUCAUCGCAAUCGUUUGAAAUAAAGUGCAUAAUAACACUUCUCCUAGUUCGAUACUGUCAACGUAAUACGCAACUAUUUAGUCGGAUAGGACCUUACAAAUAGGCAAUAAGUACGGGUAGUAAGUAAAAAUUAUUAUAAAAAUGCAUUCGCGUUCGGUACAAUAUGCUUCAAUUCAAAGG
Long non-coding RNA from Planococcus citri (citrus mealybug), 2877 nucleotides. RefSeq lists it as uncharacterized. The record is from RefSeq and is a predicted model, not a curated record. The transcript is spliced from 6 exons. Lineage: Eukaryota; Metazoa; Arthropoda; Insecta; Hemiptera; Pseudococcidae.